This 320-nucleotide long non-coding RNA is filed under the name Carica papaya (papaya). Its description in RNAcentral is "long non-coding RNA (CPAP_LNC004715)". Lineage: Eukaryota; Viridiplantae; Streptophyta; Magnoliopsida; Brassicales; Caricaceae. The record is from RNAcentral.
ACCUAGUAUGUCUCCUAUCAGAGAUGAUGAUGACUAUGAGGAUGAGGGACUGGAUGAUGAGGAACAAAUCCUUGAUGAGGAGGAUGAGUACGAGGAUGAUGAAAGUGUUAGAGGGGGUGGUUCAAGUAAGAAAAGGAGGAGAUCUGAUUUUAUUGAUGAUGCUGCGGAGGAGGAUGACGAGGAGGAAGAUGAGGACGAAGAGGAUGAUUAUGGUGGGGGAGGAAGAUCUAGGCAUAAAGCUAAGAGGAGAUCGGGCUCUGAGUUUUUUGAUCUUGAGGCUCAGGUAGAUAGUGAUGAAGAAGAGGAAGAAGAAGAUGGAG